Molecule: non-coding RNA, 2350 nt
Organism: Onthophagus taurus
Lineage: Eukaryota; Metazoa; Arthropoda; Insecta; Coleoptera; Scarabaeidae
Source: RefSeq, a predicted model, not a curated record
AUCCCUAAGCCUGGCACAGCCGCAGCCAGUUGUUCCUAAGACUGCGAACAGAUCACGUGAUUCGUGAAAUGUUUUGGAUAGCAAGAUGCUGGUCCAGCAGACGAAGAUGGUCCCUCCAGAUGGAGGAUGGGGUUGGGUGGUUGUCAUAGGAGUCAGUAUAGUUAAUUUAUGUACAAGAUCAAUAGAAACAUCAUUUGGACUUCUUUUCGGAGAAAUUUUAUUGGAAUUGGAUGUUGGAACGACGGGAGCCGCGGUUAUUAUGAGUACAUUGGAUGCCCUCAUUAAUUUCUCCGGUUUGUUCGUUGGCCCGUUGAUCAAAGCUUUGUCUUAUCGGAAGGUUUCUUUGCUGGGAGCCGUUCUGGUUAGUUUGGGUUUGAUCGCAACGUUCCCGGCGAGAAGUAUGACGCACAUCCUAGCAACUUACAGUAUUAUUAAUGGUAUAGGGGUCGGUUUGACCGCCUCCGCUACGUUUGUCGCGUUAAAUCACUAUUUUGUUAAAAAGAGGGGCCAAGCGGUUGGCUAUUCCCUCGCCGGCACUGCCUUUGGGAUGAUGCUGAUGCCACACGCGGUUCGAAUCCUUCUCGAAAACUACAGUUUUCCCGGGGCUAUGUUGAUACUCGGGGGAGUGGCUAUGCAUGGUCUCGUCGGGUCUGUUAUGUUGGAACCAGCCGAAAAUCAUUUUAAACCCGAGGUCAAAGAUGAAGAGGAAGGCAUUUAUCAUCAGCUGCAAGGAAUUUCUUUCUACUUUUCGUCGAGCGAGGAAAUGGAGACGAUAAAAGAAACAGACGACGAAGAAACUGAACAACAAGAAGAUCAAACUUUAAUAAACGGCAACAUAAUAAUAAAAACUCUCCAAGAUCUUGAAAAACAACACAUGAACAUUCCGAAUUUAACUAGAAAGUCAACGUUUCCUCGUAAUUUUUCGACGAUGAGCUUUGUUAGCCGAAAACGUAAAGAUUCGGUUGGUUCAAUCGCCUCAAGUAUAUCUAGGCUUGAUUUUACCGGAUCAAGUCUUUUAUUAAAUUUACAGACUGAUAAUAAUGAACGUAAAACGAGUGCAUCGGAUGGUUUGCAUAUGAGACGAAAUAUGAGCUACCCCGGUGUGCAAUUAAAUCCGCAUCAAAAAAUAAUGAAGGAGUUACCACAUCCGGCACCGCUUUCGAUCGCCAAAAAAACUGAAGAGACAUUUUGGCAAAAAAUAAUCAAGUUUAUGGACUUUGAUUUAUUGAAAGAUCCGAUUUACUUGAAUUUAGUUUUUGGUCUCUCCAUUUUUUACGUCGCCGAGCAAAAUUUUAAAAUGGUUACGCCGUUUUUCUUCAUGAAUCUACUUUAUACUAAGACCAACAUAGCCAUAUUUUUAUCGAUCCAGGCGAUCACAGACAUCAUUGCUCGAUUGGUACUCCCUCCAAUUUGUGAUAGACUGACCAUAUCCAAAAGGACGUUAUUUAUGACCGCCAUAUUUUUACUUGGGAUUUGUAGAUCAGCUGAAUGGAGCCAAACCGAAUAUAGUCUUGGCCGAACAAACGGCGUACAUGAGCAUCGUUGUAUGGCUUGGAAUUUGCGGAUUUGUUAGAGGAGCUGCUCUUAUCAAUUUUACCAUCACUAUUUCUGAAUACUCCUCAUUGGAAAAAUUACCAGCAGCUUUUGGAUUACAUAUGGUUGGAAAGGGACUUUUUGUGGUUGCAUUAGGACCGUUAUUAGGUGUGAUUAGAGAUCAAACAAACAGUUAUUCAAUGUGUUUACAUUCGCAGACAUUUUUAAUAAUGCUCUGCUGUACGGCGUGGUGUAUUGAGUACUUAAUUAUCUGGUUCAAAACGAGAAAAAACAGGGAUUCCGACUCUGAUACUACAACUUAAAAACUAUAAAGUAGCACACGCCAUUUUAAAUGAAAGUCCAAGUAUUAAACAUCUAAAUUAUUAAUCUUGACCUUUUUGGUUCCAUUACAUUAUGAUUAAUUAAUGUUAUAUUGUAUUUGUGGAACCUACUUACUUACGAAAAAAAUGAUGAAAAGAAAAUUAGAUGGUACAACGUAGAAAAAAGUAAAUUUCCUUGUUUUCCCUAAGAGUUUUUGUCGUAUGUCUUUAAACCAAGCAGUUUGUUCUUACUUCCGUUGACGUAGCCUUGCGUUUAUACCGUUCUUUAAGUGCAAGAGUCGACAUUACACGAUACACUUUCAGUGUGAUAUUAGUGGUAUAAGACUGAAUCUAUACGCGUGUGAAUGAAUGACCGUGAAAAUAUCUUAAAAAAAAUUGCUAUGAAUCUGUACAUAGAUGAUUGUAACUUAGGUUUACGUCUGCUAAAUGAUGUAUUAGCUAAUGAUGGUUUUAUAAAUAAAACAAUUAUAAACUUA